This 492-nucleotide ribosomal RNA is filed under the name uncultured bacterium. Its description in RNAcentral is "partial 16S ribosomal RNA". It matches the Rfam family "Bacterial small subunit ribosomal RNA", at positions 28 to 507 of the family's 1533-position model. The record is from RNAcentral.
GAUGAACGCUAGCUACAGGCUUAACACAUGCAAGUCGAGGGGAAACGGCAUUGAGUGCUUGCACUCUUUGGACGUCGACCGGCGCACGGGUGAGUAACGCGUAUCCAACCUUCCCAUUACUGUGGGAUAACCUGCCGAAAGGCAGACUAAUACCGCAUAGUCUUCGAUGACGGCAUCAGAUUUGAAGUAAAGAUUUAUCGGUAAUGGAUGGGGAUGCGUCUGAUUAGCUUGUUGGCGGGGUAACGGCCCACCAAGGCUACGAUCAGUAGGGGUUCUGAGAGGAAGGUCCCCCACAUUGGAACUGAGACACGGUCCAAAAUCCUACGGGAGGCAGCAGUGAGGAAUAUUGGUCAAUGGACGGAAGUCUGAACCAGCCAAGUAGCGUGCAGGAUGACGGCCCUAUGGGUUGUAAACUGCUUUUGAAUGGGGAUAAAGUUAGGGACGUGUCCCUAUUUGCAGGUACCAUACGAAUAAGGACCGGCUAAUUCCGUG